AUUGUAGGCAGAGAGCUCCUGAAUCUUCUGAACUUAAGGAGCAGCUGUGGAAGGUAUUGAACUAGGAUGAAGAUGUUUCAUGUGAAGCAAAUAACAAUUUUGUCUGCCUUUCAUCCAGCAAUUCCUCAGCUGCUUAUUAGCCCUCUGUCUCAUGCCAGUGAAGUGCUUCCAUGCUUACUCAGGACAGAAGAGGUCAACAGGCACUUGAGCAGGAAGUCCCCCUGGUUUAAUUGUCUAGCAGUCAGUGGUGAGACAUUUUCAGUGGAGGGCACUUGACUCUGCAGUUCUCUUCCAAGGAAGCCUAGAAUGGAUUCACUGACCUGUGUGGCACAGUGAAGUUUUUACCUAGAAGGAGA
Molecule: long non-coding RNA, 356 nt
Organism: Phasianus colchicus (ring-necked pheasant)
Lineage: Eukaryota; Metazoa; Chordata; Aves; Galliformes; Phasianidae
Source: RefSeq, a predicted model, not a curated record